Molecule: ribosomal RNA, 234 nt
Filed under: uncultured bacterium
Lineage: Bacteria
Description: partial 16S ribosomal RNA
Rfam family: Bacterial small subunit ribosomal RNA
Source: RNAcentral
GAUCCUGGCUCAGGACGAACGCUGGCGGCGUGCCUAACACAUGCAAGUCGAACGGAGAAUUUUAUUUCGGUAGAAUUCUUAGUGGCGAACGGGUGAGUAACGCGUAGGCAACCUGCCCUUUAGACGGGGACAACAUUCCGAAAGGAGGUGCUAAUACCGGAUGUGAUCAUCGUGCCGCAUGGCAGGGAUGAAGAAAGAUGGGCCUCUACAAGUAAGCUAUCGCUAAAGGAUGGG